Molecule: ribosomal RNA, 749 nt
Filed under: uncultured bacterium
Lineage: Bacteria
Description: bacterial SSU rRNA
Rfam family: Bacterial small subunit ribosomal RNA
Source: RNAcentral
ACGCUGGCGGCAGGCCUAACACAUGCUAGUCGAGCGGUAGAGAGAAGCUUGCUUCUCUUGAGAGCGGCGGACGGGUGAGUAAUGCCUAGGAAUCUGCCUGGUAGUGGGGGAUAACGUCCGGAAACGGACGCUAAUACCGCAUACGUCCUACGGGAGAAAGCAGGGGACCUUCGGGCCUUGCGCUAUCAGAUGAGCCUAGGUCGGAUUAGCUAGUUGGUGGGGUAAUGGCUCACCAAGGCGACGAUCCGUAACUGGUCUGAGAGGAUGAUCAGUCACACUGGAACUGAGACACGGUCCAGACUCCUACGGGAGGCAGCAGUGGGGAAUAUUGGACAAUGGGCGAAAGCCUGAUCCAGCCAUGCCGCGUGUGUGAAGAAGGUCUUCGGAUUGUAAAGCACUUUAAGUUGGGAGGAAGGGCAGUAAAUUAAUACUUUGCUGUUUUGACGUUACCGACAGAAUAAGCACCGGCUAACUCUGUGCCAGCAGCCGCGGUAAUACAGAGGGUGCAAGCGUUAAUCGGAAUUACUGGGCGUAAAGCGCGCGUAGGUGGUUCGUUAAGUUGGAUGUGAAAUCCCCGGGCUCAACCUGGGAACUGCAUUCAAAACUGACGAGCUAGAGUAUGGUAGAGGGUGGUGGAAUUUCCUGUGUAGCGGUGAAAUGCGUAGAUAUAGGAAGGAACACCAGUGGCGAAGGCGACCACCUGGACUGAUACUGACACUGAGGUGCGAAAGCGUGGGGAGCAAACAGGA